Molecule: ribosomal RNA, 540 nt
Filed under: Penicillium commune
Lineage: Eukaryota; Fungi; Ascomycota; Eurotiomycetes; Eurotiales; Aspergillaceae
Description: eukaryotic LSU rRNA
Rfam family: 5.8S ribosomal RNA (bases 160-312)
Source: RNAcentral
CUGGGUCACCUCCCACCCGUGUUUAUUUUACCUUGUUGCUUCGGCGGGCCCGCCUUAACUGGCCGCCGGGGGGCUUACGCCCCCGGGCCCGCGCCCGCCGAAGACACCCUCGAACUCUGUCUGAAGAUUGAAGUCUGAGUGAAAAUAUAAAUUAUUUAAAACUUUCAACAACGGAUCUCUUGGUUCCGGCAUCGAUGAAGAACGCAGCGAAAUGCGAUACGUAAUGUGAAUUGCAAAUUCAGUGAAUCAUCGAGUCUUUGAACGCACAUUGCGCCCCCUGGUAUUCCGGGGGGCAUGCCUGUCCGAGCGUCAUUGCUGCCCUCAAGCCCGGCUUGUGUGUUGGGCCCCGUCCCCCGAUCUCCGGGGGACGGGCCCGAAAGGCAGCGGCGGCACCGCGUCCGGUCCUCGAGCGUAUGGGGCUUUGUCACCCGCUCUGUAGGCCCGGCCGGCGCUUGCCGAUCAACCCAAAUUUUUAUCCAGGUUGACCUCGGAUCAGGUAGGGAUACCCGCUGAACUUAAGCAUAUCAAUAAGGCGGAGGA